RNAcentral lists this ribosomal RNA (1370 nucleotides) under uncultured bacterium. RNAcentral's name for it is "bacterial SSU rRNA". It matches the Rfam family "Bacterial small subunit ribosomal RNA". The record is from RNAcentral.
AGAGUUUGAUCCUGGCUCAGGACGAACGCUGGCGGCGCGCCUAACACAUGCAAGUCGAACGAGCGAGAGAGAGCUUGCUUUCUUGAGCGAGUGGCGAACGGGUGAGUAACGCGUGAGGAACCUGCCUCAAAGAGGGGGACAACAGUUGGAAACGACUGCUAAUACCGCAUAAGCCCACGGUGCCGCAUGGCACAGAGGGAAAAGGAGUAAUCCGCUUUGAGAUGGCCUCGCGUCCGAUUAGCUAGUUGGUGAGGUAACGGCCCACCAAGGCGACGAUCGGUAGCCGGACUGAGAGGUUGAACGGCCACAUUGGGACUGAGACACGGCCCAGACUCCUACGGGAGGCAGCAGUGGGGAAUAUUGCACAAUGGGGGAAACCCUGAUGCAGCGACGCCGCGUGGAGGAAGAAGGUCUUCGGAUUGUAAACUCCUGUUGUUGAGGAAGAUAAUGACGGUACUCAACAAGGAAGUGACGGCUAACUACGUGCCAGCAGCCGCGGUAAAACGUAGGUCACAAGCGUUGUCCGGAAUUACUGGGUGUAAAGGGAGCGCAGGCGGGAAGACAAGUUGGAAGUGAAAUCCAUGGGCUCAACCCAUGAACUGCUUUCAAAACUGUUUUUCUUGAGUAGUGCAGAGGUAGGCGGAAUUCCCGGUGUAGCGGUGGAAUGCGUAGAUAUCGGGAGGAACACCAGUGGCGAAGGCGGCCUACUGGGCACCAACUGACGCUGAGGCUCGAAAGUGUGGGUAGCAAACAGGAUUAGAUACCCUGGUAGUCCACACUGUAAACGAUGAUUACUAGGUGUUGGAGGAUUGACCCCUUCAGUGCCGCAGUUAACACAAUAAGUAAUCCACCUGGGGAGUACGACCGCAAGGUUGAAACUCAAAGGAAUUGACGGGGGCCCGCACAAGCAGUGGAGUAUGUGGUUUAAUUCGACGCAACGCGAAGAACCUUACCAAGUCUUGACAUCCCUUGACGAUGCUGGAAACAGUAUUUCUCUUCGGAGCAAGGAGACAGGUGGUGCAUGGUUGUCGUCAGCUCGUGUCGUGAGAUGUUGGGUUAAGUCCCGCAACGAGCGCAACCCUUAUGGUCAGUUACUACGCAAGAGGACUCUGGCCAGACUGCCGUUGACAAAACGGAGGAAGGUGGGGAUGACGUCAAAUCAUCAUGCCCUUUAUGACUUGGGCUACACACGUACUACAAUGGCGUUAAACAAAGAGAAGCAAGACCGCGAGGUGGAGCAAAACUCAGAAACAACGUCCCAGUUCGGACUGCAGGCUGCAACUCGCCUGCACGAAGUCGGAAUUGCUAGUAAUCGCAGAUCAGCAUGCUGCGGUGAAUAAAUGCCCGGGCCUUGCACUCACCGCCCGUCA